AACGAACGCUGGCGGCAGGCUUAACACAUGCAAGCCGAGCGCCCCGCAAGGGGAGCGGCAGACGGGUGAGUAACGCGUGGGAAUCUACCCUUUUCUACGGAAUAACGCAGGGAAACUUGUGCUAAUACCGUAUGAGCCCUUCGGGGGAAAGAUUUAUCGGGAAAGGAUGAGCCCGCGUUGGAUUAGCUAGUUGGUGGGGU
This 200-nucleotide ribosomal RNA is filed under the name uncultured bacterium. RNAcentral describes it as "partial 16S ribosomal RNA". It matches the Rfam family "Bacterial small subunit ribosomal RNA", at positions 29 to 258 of the family's 1533-position model. The record is from RNAcentral.